AAAAAAGGUCACUUUUAUCAAGAAAUUCCCAGUGUAGUAUCAUUUUGAGAAAACUCAUAUUCCGCAGACAAAACAAGAAAGGUAAAAAUAUUGAGCACAUAUGAGGGAACUGAUUUUAUUGAUAAAUUCCCCAAAAGUGGGCGAUUUUGUACAAAUAAGCAAUUCCUAAAAGAGGUGAUUGCGGAAAAAGUGAAAUGGCAAUGAAAUAUCUCGGAUUUCCAUCCAAUUCCAACUCUGUUAUAGUCCUUAUGUCCUCGGUUGUCCUUUG
This 268-nucleotide long non-coding RNA is filed under the name Lathyrus oleraceus (garden pea). RNAcentral describes it as "Pisum sativum (pea) long non-coding RNA (PSAT_LNC024827)". The record is from RNAcentral. Lineage: Eukaryota; Viridiplantae; Streptophyta; Magnoliopsida; Fabales; Fabaceae.